Molecule: ribosomal RNA, 839 nt
Filed under: uncultured Planctomycetota bacterium
Lineage: Bacteria; Pseudomonadati; Planctomycetota
Description: bacterial SSU rRNA
Rfam family: Bacterial small subunit ribosomal RNA
Source: RNAcentral
GGCGUGGAUUAGGCAUGCAAGUCGAGCGCGAUAUUUUAGAAAGAUACUUCGGUUGAUUUCUAAAAUGGAAAGCGGCGAAAGGGAGAGUAACGAGUAGAUACGUACCCAGGGGUUCAGGAUAGCCAUGCGAAAGCGUGAGUAAUACCGAAUAAUGUCUCCGGACCAAAAAUUUAUUGCCCUUGGAGCGGUUUGCUUACUAUUAGCUUGUUGGUGGGGUAAAAGCCUACCAAGGCUUAGAUGGUUAGCGGGUGUGAGAGCAUGACCCGUCUCACUGGGACUGAGACACUGCCCAGACACCUACGGGUGGCUGCAGUCGAGAAUCUUCCGCAAUGGACGAAAGUCUGACGGAGCGACGCCGCGUGCUGGAUGAAGGCCCUCGGGUUGUAAACAGCUGUCGUAGGGGAGGAAAUUUUGACCGAUCCUAGGAGGAGGCACAGGCUAAGUUCGUGCCAGCAGCCGCGGUAGUACGAACUGUGCAAACGUUAUUCGGAAUCACUGGGCUUAAAGGGUGCGUAGGCGGACUUGUAGGUCAGAUGUGAAAUCCCACGGCUCAACCGUGGAAUUGCGUUUGAAACCACUCGUCUUGAGGGGAUCAGAGGAGAGCGGAACUGAUGGUGGAGCGGUGAAAUGCGUUGAUAUUAUCAGGAACACCGGUGGCGAAAGCGGCUCUCUGGGAUCUUUCUGACGCUGAGGCACGAAAGCUAGGGGAGCGAACGGGAUUAGAUACCCCGGUAGUCCUAGCUGUAAACGAUCUGUACUAGUCCGUGGGGACCCCCACAUCUUCUCGGACGUAGCGAAAGUGUUAAGUACAGCGCCUGGGGAGUAUGGUCGCAAGGCAA